AUGUGAAGGUGAUGGGCUGGACGGGGAAGAUGAAGCAACGGGGUAGCCAUGAGAGGUCGUUUGGUGGUUUAGGGUUAGAGAGGGUGUGUUGUGAGGAAGAUGAAGAGAGGAAGAUGAAGCAACGGGGUAGCCAUGAGAGGUCGUUUGGUGGUUUAGGGUUAGAGAGGGUGUGUUUGUGAGGAAGAUGAAGAGAGGGUUUGAUAUUUUUUGGGUCGGAUCGGUCGGGAUGCUUAUAUUUAAUUUUUAAUUUUUUUAAUUCCACGUGUCACGUUUUGAUUGGCCAUUAAAUAAACUUGNNNNACGGGGUAGCCAUGAGAGGUCGUUUGGUGGUUUAGGGUUAGAGAGGGUGUGUUGUGAGGAAGAUGAAGAGAGGGUUUGGUGUUUUUUGGGUCGGG
Molecule: long non-coding RNA, 395 nt
Filed under: Nicotiana benthamiana
Lineage: Eukaryota; Viridiplantae; Streptophyta; Magnoliopsida; Solanales; Solanaceae
Description: long non-coding RNA (NBEN_LNC025061)
Source: RNAcentral